AGCGCCAUUUCCAGAGUUAUCAGUGAAUGAUGAUUUCAUAGCUCUUUAAAUGGUACUG
This is a microRNA precursor of Gadus morhua (Atlantic cod), 58 nucleotides long. Lineage: Eukaryota; Metazoa; Chordata; Actinopteri; Gadiformes; Gadidae. The record is from Ensembl.